Molecule: unclassified non-coding RNA, 378 nt
Filed under: uncultured bacterium
Lineage: Bacteria
Description: contains 16S-23S intergenic spacer region
Source: RNAcentral
UCCGGUUUGUCACCGGCAGUCUGGCGUGAGUCCCCAACUUAAUGCUGGCAACACGCCACGGGGGUUGCGCUCGUUGCGGGACUUAACCCAACAUCUCACGACACGAGCUGACGACAGCCAUGCACCACCUGUGAAUCUGCCCCGAAGGGAAAGUGUGUUUCCACACCUGUCAGAAACAUGUCAAGCCCAGGUAAGGUUCUUCGCGUUUCGUCGAAUUAAACCACACGCUCCGCUGCUUGUGCGGGUCCCCGUCAAUUCCUUUGAGUUUUAAGCUUGCGCUCGUACUUCCCAGGCGGAUGACUUGUCGCGUUGGCUGUGACCCCCACCGGCUUUAACACCAGCAAAGGUCGAGUCAUCAUCGUUUACGGCGUGGACUAC